GGCCUUGCAGCUCAGCUGGUAGAGCAUGCGCGUACAAAGCGUAGGCGGCGUCCAUGCAUGGGUUUGAAUCCCACCGAGGCUA
Molecule: non-coding RNA, 82 nt
Organism: Echinostoma caproni
Lineage: Eukaryota; Metazoa; Platyhelminthes; Trematoda; Plagiorchiida; Echinostomatidae
Source: Rfam